AUUAAUUAUUUAUUAUCAUUAUUAAAAGACAAAGUACAUAGGAAAUAAUAUUAGACGUUAUUUUAGAUGUUAGUUUGUUAUUGUGUAUAAGAUAAUUAUAUACAAUCCGAUGCAAAUUCCGCGAUAUUAGUUGACAAAGAUUUAAUUAAAUUAAAUUAAAUACUUAAUUAGAUUAAAUAUAAUUAAAUAAUUGGUCUAAUAAAUAUAAAAUGAUCGAAAUGCGAGGCAGUACGAAAUUCUUUUAUAUCUUUUUACGAAUUUCACGAAACGAUUACAUCAAUCUUCGCAAGUCAAUUAAUUCAACACAGCAUGAAGAAAAAAAAAUGCUCCAGGUGAGGCUCGAACUCACAACCCCGGCAUUGCUCACGAACACUGUCAUAUAAGUACCGUGCGCUAACCAAUUGCGCCACUGGAGCUGUUGGGAAUAAGGCCACUCCAACUGACUCUUGAAGCCUGGUAUUAAUAAUAUCGAAAGUAUCUUUCUUUAAUUUUAUGAAUCGUCGAUCUUGGCACAGCAGAUCGAUUCGAAUUUAUAAUUUUACAUAUAUCGGUCUAGAGAAAAAUUAUAUCUUGAUUCUACCUCGUGAAAUAUGUCGUCUAUAUAUAUAGACGGUAUUAUAUGUGUGUGUGUGUGUGUGUGUGUGUGUGUGUGUGUGUGUUCGAAGAUUUUUAUUCGCCUUUUUAAUUUUAAAGUUCUGUUUCAAGACGGUGCAUCAUGCGCUUGACCCUAGUUGACCCCAAGACUGAAAUAUUAGCGAUUUUGAAUACAAAGACCGCUAUUCAUAGUCGGCUCUUAUAUUUAAGUCCGUCUUAAGUUUAUCUGCAGAUGCUAUAUAGAUCAUUUCAUUGACUGUAAAGUACAUCUAAAGAUACACUCAAGACGGUCCUUAAAUAUAAAAUUCGACUAUGAAUACCGGCGAAAGAGAAUACAGUAAUAAAUAUCAUGUGUGAAUAAGUGAACUCUAAUCUGUAUUAUCGAAUUUGGUCGGUAACUUAUUUUAGGUGUUCACGCGCAAAGGUUGCCCAGAUGGCGCAAGAUCGUCCCCUCCCCUCCACCACUUUUGCAAAGGCGAGACUCGGGAUUGCGAGUUGCUUUCAGUGCGUCGCCGUGUGAGCUUCGUACUGGGGCAGUAUCGGUACUUACACCACGUCACUCCACAUUGCUCCACAUUGCACCCAGUAAUAAUCUAUUUCUACAUUUAUGCAUGAACAGUGUAAAAGUGUAAACUAAGACCGCGUUGGAUCGCACGCUUUCGCGCUGAUAAGUGUCACUUGUGUCAUUCGUUUUGUGGGGUUGGUUUUGUGAGCGCUCGCAGAGGCCACGCAUGACAUUACUACGACAUUAUUAACGUUCCUUUCGAACGCUCAUUUCGUCAAGUGUGGCAAAAGCGUGAGUGUAUUGGGUAUACUAAAAGCGAAGCAUAGCAAAUGUUGCUAAUCAAUAAACAUGACGCCUAUUUCAAUCGAUUUGAAGGAUGCAAGUAUAGUAUCAGACAAAAUCUCUACUCGUUAUUACUGCAUGGAAUACAUGAAGGUGAAGUAAGAUACUGACGCACUCACCAGCUGUAAACAAGAAGUUGACAUCGAAUGAUAUUGAAUAUGUUGUCAUUGAAUUCGUGAGGAGGACUACAAACGUAAGUGUUUAAGGUAGGGUCCCAUUAAACAAUAUGAAGGUGAUUAUUUCAUUAUUUCUCCUUGACAUUCGCCGUAGGGCCAAACUAUUAGCAUUACAAUACGCUUUUUUUAAUCUUACAAUUUUUGUCUAAAACAGUUCUUUCCAUUUUAUACUUUUUUCUAUAUUUAAGCGUCUCAAAGUAAAUGCCGCAUAGGUAAUAACUGAAUAACAUCAUAAUCGACAUUCUAAAUAUAAAAAAAGAAGGUUGAAUGUGUGUGCUUUAUUUCUACUUGCUCUAUUUUAGUAAGCUAUCACGCAAGAUUUCUACUCGAUUUUUAGUUUUUUUUAUUAUUGCUGCAUGGAGUACAUGAAGGUGAAGUAAGAUACUGACGCACUCACCAGCUGUAAACAAAAGUUGACCUCGAAUGAUAUUGAAUAUGUUGUCAUGAAUUCGUGAGGAGGACUACAAACGUAAGUGUUUAAGUUUUGUUUUAUUAUUGCUGGAUGGAGUACAUGAAGGUGAAGUAAGAUACUGAUGCACUCGUCAUCUGUAAAUAAGAUCUGCAAUUAAUUUGGUGCUUUUACUUCUAAUUAAUCAUAACUCCGUUUUGGAUUCAAAUAUGUUCCUGUCAUUUAGUCAGUUUCAAAGUGCCAUCCUUAAGAUUUAAAAUACGCUACAUAGCUCAAAAAGCUCAAAAAAGAUUUGUUACCAAGGAUAGUUAAGCUUCAUCCUAAUAUAUGCAAGGUACGGUAUAUGUAAUAACGCUAUAAUCAUCAUUGUUUAUUAAACAUCAAAAAGGAAAGCUAAAUGUGUAUUUUAUAUCUUUUUACUUUAUUUUAAUUACUAAUUCUUAAUAUUGGUUUGUUCGGAAAGUGCGGUUUUUCACAUAGCCAAGUAUUCUAAGAUGCUGUUUAAGGAUCGAAUUAGAUAUGUGGGGUAUCUCCGCAAUGCCUCGCGUUAUGUAACGUCGAUUACUUUCAAUUAUUGUUGCAAUUUGGUCGUCAUCUACCGCAGAAGGCCUAUCUGAGCGUUCUUGAGUCUUCGAUGUUAACAUCAUCACUUUUGAAGCGAGCGAACUACUUCUGAACAGUUCUUUCAGCUGCUGCAUUACUUCUGUAAAUCUUUUUUGUUAUCUGAACGGCACUCUUGCUUUUUUUGAAAUAAAAUAACAUAAUGUG
Molecule: long non-coding RNA, 2794 nt
Organism: Ooceraea biroi (clonal raider ant)
Lineage: Eukaryota; Metazoa; Arthropoda; Insecta; Hymenoptera; Formicidae
Source: RefSeq, a predicted model, not a curated record